GGCCUCUUCGUCUAGCGGUUAGGACGCCGCCCUCUCAAGGCGGAGAUCACGGGUUCGAAUCCCGUAGGGGCCGCCA
RNAcentral lists this transfer RNA (76 nucleotides) under Elusimicrobia bacterium RIFCSPHIGHO2_02_FULL_61_10. RNAcentral describes it as "tRNA-Glu". It matches the Rfam family "tRNA". From Rfam's summary of the family: Transfer RNA (tRNA) molecules are approximately 80 nucleotides in length. Their secondary structure includes four short double-helical elements and three loops (D, anti-codon, and T loops). RNAcentral also lists the same sequence under 3 other names. The record is from RNAcentral. Lineage: Bacteria; Pseudomonadati; Elusimicrobiota.